RNAcentral lists this ribosomal RNA (270 nucleotides) under Triticum aestivum (bread wheat). RNAcentral's name for it is "partial small subunit ribosomal RNA". Lineage: Eukaryota; Viridiplantae; Streptophyta; Magnoliopsida; Poales; Poaceae. The record is from RNAcentral.
AUGGGCGCGGUGGUCAUGAGGAAGGUUGUUGAGGUCGGCGAGAUGAACGUUGUUGCCUACCCGCUGGCCAGGACCAAGGACGGCUGCCCCAGCGCUCCGUCUUCUUCACAAUCUCGUGCUGAGAAAGGAGGGUGUGGCCACGUGGAGGAGAUAGCUGAAGUCGAGGGUGUUGUUGAUGACAUAAAAGUGAAGAGUGUUUGUGCUGUUGGUGGUGACCUCCUCUGCCGCGCGCUGGCGGUGGCCGACUUGCACUGCGACCCUGGCCAUUGA